CUAAGUUGAAACUCAUUUUUGGUGAAACUGCAAAUGGCUCAUUAUAUCCGUUUUAAUGUCUGUGGGCU
RNAcentral lists this ribosomal RNA (68 nucleotides) under Tripos fusus. Its description in RNAcentral is "partial Eukaryotic small subunit ribosomal RNA". Lineage: Eukaryota; Dinophyceae; Gonyaulacales; Ceratiaceae. The record is from RNAcentral.